RNAcentral lists this ribosomal RNA (253 nucleotides) under uncultured bacterium. RNAcentral describes it as "partial 16S ribosomal RNA". It matches the Rfam family "Bacterial small subunit ribosomal RNA", at positions 524 to 776 of the family's 1533-position model. The record is from RNAcentral.
UACGUAGGUGGCAAGCGUUGUCCGGAUUUACUGGGCGUAAAGAGCGCGCAGGCGGUCGUUCAAGUCGCGUGUGAAAGCCCCCGGCUCAACUGGGGAGGGUCACGCGAUACUGAUCGACUCGAAGGCAGGAGAGGGAAGUGGAAUUCCCGGUGUAGUGGUGAAAUGCGUAGAUAUCGGGAGGAACACCUGUGGCGAAAGCGGCGCACUGGACCACAACUGACGCUGAGGCGCGAAAGCUAGGGGAGCAAACAGG